CAGUAGCCGCGGUAAUACGGAGGGUGCAAGCGUUAAUCGGAAUUACUGGGCGUAAAGCGCACGCAGGCGGUCUGACAAGUCAGAUGUGAAAUCCCCGGGCUUAACCUGGGAACUGCAUUUGAAACUGUCAGGCUGGAGUCUUGUAGAGGGGGGUAGAAUUCCAGGUGUAGCGGUGAAAUGCGUAGAGAUCUGGAGGAAUACCGAUGGCAAAGGCAGCCAUCUGGCCUAAUACUGACGCUGAGGUACGAAAGCAUGGGGAGCAAACAGGAUUAGAUACCCCUGUAGUCCCUGUCUCUUAUAC
RNAcentral lists this ribosomal RNA (301 nucleotides) under uncultured bacterium. RNAcentral describes it as "partial 16S ribosomal RNA". It matches the Rfam family "Bacterial small subunit ribosomal RNA", at positions 509 to 807 of the family's 1533-position model. The record is from RNAcentral.